RNAcentral lists this long non-coding RNA (391 nucleotides) under Lupinus angustifolius (narrow-leaved blue lupine). RNAcentral's name for it is "long non-coding RNA (LANG_LNC000849)". The record is from RNAcentral. Lineage: Eukaryota; Viridiplantae; Streptophyta; Magnoliopsida; Fabales; Fabaceae.
AAAAAUAUAAAAGAAAAUAAUAAUAGAAUUUAUUCCAUUUUUUUAGUUUCUUUUUAUACAACCAGAGCCUGUCCAUGCCAAUACUUAGCUGGGCUCUUUUUGUUACCACGAAUCUUUGAAAACAAAGAUUUAGUUGAAUGUAUUUCAUUUGAAAAAAAAAAAAAAAUACUUGUUAUUUAAACAUGAUCAAACAUAAAUAAAAAAAGACUUUUAGAUUCCUAAGAUCAAAAUGUCAUUUUUUUAUUACUCCUUCGUUUUUCUAGUAAAGUAUCUAAAAAAAGAAACUGUGGAUUCUUACACAAUCUAUUUUUUGUUAUGGAUUAAGUAGUUUUGUCGAGAUGUAGAUGUAUCUGUAUCUGUCAAAACAAAACAUCUUCAGCUUCUGCAAAAA